RNAcentral lists this ribosomal RNA (1926 nucleotides) under human gut metagenome. RNAcentral describes it as "bacterial LSU rRNA". It matches the Rfam family "Bacterial large subunit ribosomal RNA", at positions 3 to 1973 of the family's 2925-position model. The record is from RNAcentral.
UCAAGCGACUAAGUGUAUGCGGCGGAUGCCUUGGCGAUCAUAGGCGAAGAAGGACGUGUAAGCCUGCGAAAAGCUGCGGGGAGUUGGCAAAAGAACAUUGAUCCGCAGAUGUCCGAAUGGGGAAACCCUCCAAUUUAUUGGAAUUCAUAACUGAAUACAUAGGUUAUGAAGGCGAACGCAGUGAACUGAAACAUCUAAGUAACUGCAGGAAAAGAAAUCAACCGAGAUUGCGGAAGUAGCGGCGAGCGAAACCGCACCAGCCUAGUCAUUGAUAAUUCUGAUCAACAGCAGAACGACCUGGGAAGGUCGGCUACAGAGGGUGACAGCCCCGUAUGCGAAGUUGAUGGAAUGGUACUGAGGUGACGAAAAGUAGGGCGGGACACGUGACAUCCUGUCUGAAGAUGGGGGGACCAUCCUCCAAGGCUAAAUACUCAUGAUCGACCGAUAGCGAACCAGUACUGUGAAGGAAAGGUGAAAAGAACCCCGGGAGGGGAGUGAAAUAGAACCUGAAACUGCAUACAUACAAACAGUAGGAGCCCGCAAGGGUGACUGCGUACCUUUUGCAUAAUGGGUCAGCGACUUACGUUUUGCGGCGAGCUUAACCGAGUAGGGGAGGCGCAGCGAAAGCGAGUUCGAACAGAGCGAUAAAGUCGUAAGGCGUAGACCCGAAACCAGAUGAGCUAUCCAUGGUCAGGUUGAAGGUGUGGUAACACACACUGGAGGACCGAACCGACCGGUGUUGCAAAACCGGCGGAUGAACUGUGGAUAGGGGUGAAAGGCUUAACAAAUCUGGAGAUAGCUGGUUCUCCCCGAAAACUAUUGAGGUAGUGCCUCGUGAAUGACUGCCGGGGGUAGAGCACUGUUAUGGCUAGGGGGACAUGGCGUCUUACCAAACCAUGGCAAACUCCGAAUACUGGCAAGUUGAAUCACGGGAGACAGAGCACCGGGUGCUAACGUCCGGACUCAAAAGGGAAACAACCCAGACCGCCGUUUAAGGUCCCUAAUAACAGCUAAGUGGAAAACGAAGUGUGAAGGCUAAGACAGUCAGGAAGUUGGCUUAGAAGCAGCCAUCCUUCAAAGAAAGCGUAAUAGCUCACUGAUCGAGUCCUCAUGCGCGGAAGAUGUAUCGGGGCUAAGUUAAUAACCGAAAGCGCGGAUUUCGCAGCAAUGCGAAGUGGUAGGGGAGCGUUCUGUAAGCCUGCGAAGGUGACUUGAGAAGGUUGCUGGAGGUAUCAGAAGUGCGAAUGCUGACAUGAGUAACGAUAAAGCGGGUGAAAAGCCCGCUCGCCGUAAGCCCAAGGUUUCCUGCUCUACGUUCAUCGGAGCAGGGUGAGUCGGCCCCUAAGGCCAGGCUGAGAAGCGUAGUCGAUGGGAAUCAGGUUAAUAAUCCUGAACCGCAUCAGAAUGCGAUGGGGGGACGGAGUUUGGAAGGUCAUCCGGGUGUUGGAUAUCCCGGUUUGUGAGAGUAGGAGGUUCGCAGGCAAAUCCGCGGACAUAUCUCCGAGUCAAAGCAUCGAGCUUUCGUUAGAAAGUGAAGUGAUUGGAAGAACUUCCAGGAAAAGCCUCUAAGCUUCAGUUUUGAUGUGACCGUACCGUAAACCGACACUGGUGGGCGAGUUGAAUAUACUAAGGCGCUUGAGAGAACUCGGGAGAAGGAACUCGGCAAAUUGACACCGUAACUUCGGGAUAAGGUGUGCCUUGGUAGCGUGAAAGGAGAAACUCCCCAAGCGCGAAGAGGUCACAGAAAAUAGGGGGCUGCGACUGUUUACUAAAAACACAGCACUCUGCAAAGACGAAAGUCGACGUAUAGGGUGUGAUGCCUGCCCGGUGCCGGAAGAUUAAGUGAUGGGGUGAGAGCUCCUGAUCGAAGUCCCGGUAAACGGCGGCCGUAACUAUAACGGUCCUAAGGUAGCGAAAUUCCUUGUC